RNAcentral lists this ribosomal RNA (468 nucleotides) under uncultured bacterium. Its description in RNAcentral is "partial 16S ribosomal RNA". It matches the Rfam family "Bacterial small subunit ribosomal RNA", at positions 28 to 507 of the family's 1533-position model. The record is from RNAcentral.
GACGAACGCUGGCGGCGUGCUUAACACAUGCAAGUCGAACGGAAAGGCCCUGCUUUUGUGGGGUGCUCGAGUGGCGAACGGGUGAGUAACACGUGAGUAACCUGCCCUUGACUUUGGGAUAACUUCAGGAAACUGGGGCUAAUACCGGAUAGGAGCUCCUGCUGCAUGGUGGGGGUUGGAAAGUUUCGGCGGUUGGGGAUGGACUCGCGGCUUAUCAGCUUGUUGGUGGGGUAGUGGCUUACCAAGGCUUUGACGGGUAGCCGGCCUGAGAGGGUGACCGGCGACAUUGGGACUGAGAUACGGCCCAGACUCCUACGGGAGGCAGCAGUGGGGAAUAUUGCAGAAUGGGCGGAAGCCUGAGGCAGCAACGCCGCGUGCGGGAUGACGGCCUUCGGGUUGUAAACCGCUUUGGCAUGUGACGAAGAGUGAGUGACGGUAAUGGGUAAAGAAGCACCGGCUAACUACGUG